RNAcentral lists this ribosomal RNA (406 nucleotides) under uncultured bacterium. RNAcentral's name for it is "partial 16S ribosomal RNA". It matches the Rfam family "Bacterial small subunit ribosomal RNA", at positions 29 to 526 of the family's 1533-position model. The record is from RNAcentral.
AUUGAACGCUGGCGGCAGGCCUAACACAUGCAAGUCGAACGAGUGGCGGACGGGUGAGUAAUGUCUGGGAAACUGCCCGAUGGAGGGGGAUAACUACUGGAAACGGUAGCUAAUACCGCAUACCAUCAGAUGUGCCCAGAUGGGAUUGGUAAGUUGGUGGGGUAACGGCUCACCAAGGCGACGAUCCCUAGCUGGUCUGAGAGGAUGACCGGCAACACUGGAACGGAGCAACGGUCAAGAUUCCAACGGGAGGCAGAAGUGGGGAAUAUUGCACAAGGGGCGCAAGCCUGAUGCAGCCAGGCGGCGUGUAUGAAGAAGGCCUUCGGGUUGUAAAGUACUUUCAGCGGGAAGGCGUUACCCGCAGAAGAAGCACCGGCUAACUCCGUGCCAGCAGCCGCGGUAAUUC